This 472-nucleotide ribosomal RNA is filed under the name uncultured bacterium. RNAcentral's name for it is "partial 16S ribosomal RNA". It matches the Rfam family "Bacterial small subunit ribosomal RNA", at positions 355 to 842 of the family's 1533-position model. The record is from RNAcentral.
UGGGGAAUAUUGCACAAUGGGCGAAAGCCUGAUGCAGCAACGCCGCGUGAGUGAUGAAGGUCUUCGGAUUGUAAAGCUCUGUCUUUUGGGACGAUAAUGACGGUACCAAAGGAGGAAGCCACGGCUAACUACGUGCCAGCAGCCGCGGUAAUACGUAGGUGGCGAGCGUUGUCCGGAUUUACUGGGCGUAAAGGGUGCGUAGGCGGAUGUUUAAGUGAGAUGUGAAAUACCCGGGCUUAACUUGGGUGCUGCAUUUCAAACUGGAUAUCUAGAGUGCAGGAGAGGAGAAUGGAAUUCCUAGUGUAGCGGUGAAAUGCGUAGAGAUUAGGAAGAACACCAGUGGCGAAGGCGAUUCUCUGGACUGUAACUGACGCUGAGGCACGAAAGCGUGGGUAGCAAACAGGAUUAGAUACCCUGGUAGUCCACGCCGUAAACGAUGAGUACUAGGGUGUAGGAGGUAUCGACCCCUUCU